GUCGGGAAAUCCACUCGCCUAACGAGUGGGCGUCCGGCGGAAACUCCAGGGCUUGGGACCGGAAGACUUGAGGGGUACGUCUGGGGUAGGAGUGAAAUCCUGUAAUCCUGGACGGACCGCCGAUAGCGAAAGCACCUCAAGGCGACGGAUCCGACAGUGAGGGACGAAAGCUAGGGUCUCGAACCGGAUUAGAUACCCGG
Molecule: ribosomal RNA, 200 nt
Filed under: uncultured archaeon
Lineage: Archaea
Description: partial 16S ribosomal RNA
Rfam family: Archaeal small subunit ribosomal RNA
Source: RNAcentral